Molecule: ribosomal RNA, 454 nt
Filed under: Enterococcus faecalis
Lineage: Bacteria; Bacillati; Bacillota; Bacilli; Lactobacillales; Enterococcaceae
Description: partial 23S ribosomal RNA
Rfam family: Bacterial large subunit ribosomal RNA
Source: RNAcentral
GCGUUCUAAGGGCGACGAAGGCAGACCGUGAGGACUGUUGGAGCGCUUAGAAGUGAGAAUGCCGGUAUGAGUAGCGAAAGAUAGGUGAGAAUCCUAUCCACCGUAUGACUAAGGUUUCCUGGGGAAGGCUCGUCCUCCCAGGGUUAGUCGGGACCUAAGCCGAGGCCGAGAGGCGUAGGCGAUGGAUAACAGGUUGAGAUUCCUGUACUAGUUAAACUUGUUUGAACAAUGGAGGGACGCAGGAGGCUAAGGAAUGCACCCGAUUGGAAGUGGGUGUCCAAGCCGUAAGUCUGAAAUCGAGUCAAAUGCUUGAUUUCUUAAGGACAAGCGGUGAUGGGGAGUGAAAUUUAAGUAACGAAGUUCCUGACGUCACGCUGCCGAGAAAAGCUUCUAGUUAGAGUUUAACUACCCGUACCGCAAACCGACACAGGUAGUCGAGGAGAGUAUCCUAAGG